Molecule: ribosomal RNA, 253 nt
Filed under: uncultured bacterium
Lineage: Bacteria
Description: partial 16S ribosomal RNA
Rfam family: Bacterial small subunit ribosomal RNA
Source: RNAcentral
UACAGAGGUCUCAAGCGUUGUUCGGAUUCAUUGGGCGUAAAGGGUGCGUAGGCGGCGCGGUAAGUCGGGUGUGAAAUCUCGGAGCUUAACUCCGAAACUGCAUUCGAUACUGCCGUGCUUGAGGACUGGAGAGGGGACUGGAAUUUACGGUGUAGCGGUGAAAUGCGUAGAUAUCGUAAGGAAGACCAGUGGCGAAGGCGGGUCUCUGGACAGUUCCUGACGCUGAGGCACGAAGGUCAGGGGAGCAAACGGG